CCUACGGUGGGCAGCAGUGAGGAAUAUUGGUCAAUGGCCGUAAGGCUGAACCAGCCAAGUCGCGUGAAGGAAGAAGGGUUUCGGCUCGUAAACUUCUAUCAACAGGGACGAAAGAAAUGACGGUACCUGAAUAAGAAGCCCCGGCUAACUACGUGCCAGCAGCCGCGGUAAUACGUAGGGGGCAAGCGUUAUCCGGAAUUACUGGGUGUAAAGGGUGAGUAGGCGGCAUGGUAAGCCAGAUGUGAAAGCCUUGGGCUUAACCCGAGGAUUGCAUUUGGAACUAUCAAGCUAGAGUACAGGAGAGGAAAGCGGAAUUCCUAGUGUAGCGGUGAAAUGCGUAGAUAUUAGGAAGAACACCAGUGGCGAAGGCGGCUUUCUGGACUGAAACUGACGCUGAGGCACGAAAGCGUGGGGAGGGAACAGGAUUAGAUACCCCUGUAGUC
This 443-nucleotide ribosomal RNA is filed under the name uncultured bacterium. RNAcentral describes it as "partial 16S ribosomal RNA". It matches the Rfam family "Bacterial small subunit ribosomal RNA", at positions 338 to 795 of the family's 1533-position model. The record is from RNAcentral.